Pelobates cultripes (western spadefoot toad) is the source of this 209-nucleotide non-coding RNA. The record is from the annotation of a GenBank genome assembly. Lineage: Eukaryota; Metazoa; Chordata; Amphibia; Anura; Pelobatidae.
CUAUAGAGAAGAAGUUUUAGGAAUAAAGUUAAGGUGUAUACUCAGAUACCAAAUUAGCUGAAUUAUCCUUGUUACUAUGACAACAAGCGUUCAGCAAGGUGCAGCUGAGGACAUCUUGAAAAUCCAAAAACUUAGUGUGGAUCUGUGUUAAAACUAAUAAAAUAUUGGUACAAUGUGCAAUACAGAACAGCAGCUAGCAGAGACAGACA